ACGUAGGUGGCGAGCGUUAUCCGGAAUGAUUGGGCGUAAAGGGUGCGUAGGUGGCAGAUCAAGUCUAGAGUAAAAGGUAUGGGCUCAACCCGUACUGGCUCUGGAAACUGAUCAGCUAGAGAACAGAAGAGGACGGCGGAACUCCAUGUGUAGCGGUAAAAUGCGUAGAUAUAUGGAAGAACACCGGUGGCGAAGGCGGCCGUCUGGUCUGGAUUCUGACACUGAAGCACGAAAGCGUGGGGAGCAAAUAG
Molecule: ribosomal RNA, 251 nt
Filed under: uncultured bacterium
Lineage: Bacteria
Description: partial 16S ribosomal RNA
Rfam family: Bacterial small subunit ribosomal RNA
Source: RNAcentral